AACAGGAUUAGAUACCCUGGUAGUCCACGCUGUAAACGAUGUCGACUUGGAGGUUGUUCCCUUGAGGAGUGGCUUCCGGAGCUAACGCGUUAAGUCGACCGCCUGGGGAGUACGGCCGCAAGGUUAAAACUCAAAUGAAUUGACGGGGGCCCGCACAAGCGGUGGAGCAUGUGGUUUAAUUCGAUGCAACGCGAAGGACCUUACCUACUCUUGACAUCCAGAGAAUUUAGCAGAGAUGCUUUAGUGCCUUCGGGAACUCUGAGACAGGUGCUGCAUGGCUGUCGUCAGCUCGUGUUGUGAAAUGUUGGGUUAAGUCCCGCAACGAGCGCAACCCUUAUCCUUUGUUGCCAGCGGUUCGGCCGGGAACUCAAAGGAGACUGCCAGUGAUAAACUGGAGGAAGGUGGGGAUGACGUCAAGUCAUCAUGGCCCUUACGAGUAGGGCUACACACGUGCUACAAUGGCAUAUACAAAGAGAAGCGACCUCGCGAGAGUAAGCGGACCUCAUAAAGUAUGUCGUAGUCCGGAUUGGAGUCUGCAACUCGACUCCAUGAAGUCGGAAUCGCUAGUAAUCGUGGAUCAGAAUGCCACGGUGAAUACGUUCCCGGGCCUUGUACACACCGCCCGUCACACCAUGGGAGUGGGUUGCAAAAGAAGUAGGUAGCUUAACCUUCGGGAGGGCGCUUACCACUUUGUGAUUCAUGACUGGGGUGAAGUCGUAACAAGGUAACC
RNAcentral lists this ribosomal RNA (730 nucleotides) under uncultured bacterium. Its description in RNAcentral is "bacterial SSU rRNA". It matches the Rfam family "Bacterial small subunit ribosomal RNA", at positions 771 to 1501 of the family's 1533-position model. The record is from RNAcentral.